Molecule: ribosomal RNA, 495 nt
Filed under: uncultured bacterium
Lineage: Bacteria
Description: partial 16S ribosomal RNA
Rfam family: Bacterial small subunit ribosomal RNA
Source: RNAcentral
GAUGAACGCUGGCGGCGUGCCUAACACAUGCAAGUCGAACGAAGCACCCCUCCCUAGUGUUGACCCAGCUUGCUGCGGGUUGAUUCAUUUCAUUUGACUGGGUGUCGCACGGGUGAGUAACGCGUGAGUACCCUUCCUCAUAUAGGGGCACAACAUUUGGAAACUACUGCUAAUACCCCAUGGUAAGACUAAUUCGCAUGGUUUCUUCUUGAAAGAUUUAUCGCUAUUAGAUGGGCCCGCGUCUGAUUAGCUAGUUGGUAAGGUAACGGCUUACCAAGGCGACGAUCAGUAGCUGGCUUGAGAGAGUGAUCAGCCACACUGGGACUGAGACACGGCCCAGACUCCUACGGGAGGCAGCAGUGGGGAAUAUUGCACAAUGGGGGAAAGCCUGAUGCAGCGACGCCGCGUGAGUGAAGAAGUAUUUCGGUAUGUAAAGCUCUAUCAGCAGGGAAGAUAAUGACAGUACCUGAAUAAGAAGCUCCGGCUAACUCCGUG